This 415-nucleotide long non-coding RNA is filed under the name Homo sapiens (human). RNAcentral describes it as "non-protein coding lnc-ZNF674-8:1". Lineage: Eukaryota; Metazoa; Chordata; Mammalia; Primates; Hominidae. The record is from RNAcentral.
GAUUAUGGGACAGCUCUCAGAUAAAUUUUACUACACAGAUUGUCUCUUUUUUGGAGCAAUCAUCUCUGCCACUGACCCAGGAAGACUCUGAUUUCAUCCUGACCGAAGGCGACCUGACAUUGACCUACGGGGACAGCACAGUGACUGCAAAUGGCUCCUCAAGUUCGCACACCGCCUCCACGAGUCUGGAGGGCAGCCGGAGAACGAAGAGCAGCUCGGAGGAAGUGCUGGAGCGAGACCUGGGAAUGGGAGACCAGAAGGUUUCGAGCCGGGGCACCCGCCUAGUGUUUCCCCUGGAAGAUAAUGCUUGACUUUCCCCCCAAGCCCUGGCGCGAUGGGACUGAAGAUUUGAAAAUACAUCCACGAACAUUUCAACAUGGAACGAAGAAUUAUAGUUCCUUCUCUGGCUAUAUCC